This 412-nucleotide unclassified non-coding RNA is filed under the name Hevea brasiliensis (rubber tree). The record is from RNAcentral. Lineage: Eukaryota; Viridiplantae; Streptophyta; Magnoliopsida; Malpighiales; Euphorbiaceae.
CUCAGAUUUAGAGAAGGCCUAAGCUUUGUUUAUUAUAAUAUUUGGAGGUAUGGGUGUUGAUCUUGAAUCUCUUUCAGAGGCAACCUCCGGUGCCAUUGGCUCCUUACUCAGUACAACGAUCUUGUACCCUCUUGAUACCUGUAAGACCAAGUAUCAAGCCGAGGUUCGUGCUCAUGGCCAGCGAAAAUACAGGCACCUUUCUGAUGUUUUAUGGGAAGCACUAUCCAAUGGACAAAUUCUUUCACUAUAUCAAGGCUUAGGGACAAAAAAUCUGCAGUCUUUCAUUUCACAGUUUGUCUACUUCUAUGGGUACAGCUACUUUAAAAGGCUAUAUCUGGAAAAAAGUGGUUUCAAAAGAAUUGGAACGAAAGCUAACUUGAUUAUUGCUGCUGCUGCUGGUGCUUGCACUGCC